RNAcentral lists this ribosomal RNA (921 nucleotides) under Betta brownorum. Its description in RNAcentral is "partial 16S ribosomal RNA". The stretch from base 152 to 921 matches the Rfam family "Bacterial large subunit ribosomal RNA", at positions 568 to 1847 of the family's 2925-position model. Lineage: Eukaryota; Metazoa; Chordata; Actinopteri; Anabantiformes; Osphronemidae. The record is from RNAcentral.
CUAUUAAUACCCCCAAAAACACCAAUUGAUAAACAACAAACCAUUUUUCCUCCCAAGUACGGGCGACAGAAAAGGACACCUACAUGAGCCAUAAAAAAGUACCGCAAGGGAACGCUGAAAAAGAAAUGAAACAAACCAGUAAAGUUUAAAAAAGCAGAGACUUAUACUCGUACCUUUUGCAUCAUGACUUAGCUAGCAAAAACCAAGCAAAAGGCACUUUAGUUUGACUUCCCGAAACUAAGUGAGCUACUCCAAAACAGCCUAAAAGCAGGGCUAACCCGUCUCUGUGGCAAAAGAGUGGGAUGAUCUUAGAGUAGAGGUGACAAACCUAUCGAACUUAGUAAUAGCUGGUUGCCUAAGAAAUGAAUAGAAGUUCAGCUUUUUGAUUUUUCUUCUCAAAUUUAUUUCACUUAUAACUGACCCAGAAAACACCAAAAAAGUUAAUUAAAGGGGGUACAGCUCCUUUAAAACAAGAUACGACUUCAUCAGCCGGGUAAAGAUCAUAAUUAUUAAGGCAAAAAUGUUUUAGUGGGCCUGAAAGCAGCCACCUACAAGAAAGCGUUAAAGCUCAUUCAUACUUUCGCCAUCAAUUUAGAUAACAAAUCCCAACCCGCUAAUUUUAUUAGGCCGCCCCAUGUAUACAUGGGGGUGAUUCUGCUAAUAUGAGUAAUAAGAAAAACCCAGUUUUUCUCCUUGCACACGUGUAAAUCGAAACGGACCCCCCACCGAAUUUUAAUCGGCCCCAAAAGAGGGUAAUGAGCCACUAACUUUAGUAACAAGAAAAAUACCCAAAGAUUAACCGUUAACCCCACACUGGUGUGCCUACAAGGAAAGACUAAAAGAAAAAGAAGGAACUCGGCAAAUACAAGCCUCGCCUGUUUACCAAAAACACCGCCUCUUGUACACAAAAAUAAGAGGUCA